CCAUGCUUGAUGCUCAUUGGCUACGCUGAGCAUUGCCCCACCCCGCGCUUGCCGCUCAUUGGUUGGCGAGCUGCGCGGGGUGGGGACCUCUAGGAGCGGAGGCGCUGUAAGAUGGCGCCGGGCUGAGGGGCUGUGGGGUUUUUAUCGUCAUUUCAGCGGCUUGGGUGGGGGGUUUGUGCCCUCAGGACGUCGCUUAGGCUUUUCGAGGAGUCAUGCCAAGCUCCUGCUGCCAGCACACGCCUACCUGCCGUGCUUGCCACGUCAGGGAACCGGUGUGGGGGCGUUGUUCCUGUUGUGUGUUGUGACAGAAAAGCACUGAUGUUCUCAGAGGGUGCUGUGAGCGAAAAGAAGGUGACAUUGGAGCAUUGCCACCAUAGCACUAGGAAUUCCUGAGGAGUAUAAAUCCAAGAGCAGUGUCCCAGCUUCCUUGUGUGACUGUGUUUGGUGCCACUCACGUGCAAGAGUUCAGGCAAAUGGAGUUACAAAGCUGUAGUCCACAGCAUCACGUGGCUGCUGCUCUCCUGCUGUCAAAGGAAGAAGGCCUCCACAAGGAGUACCAGUAGCACAGCAGUGAGUGACCCACGAACUCCCUGAUGUAUCAGCCUAUAGCCUGGGAGGGGAGCACGUAUACAGUCCUACCUUGGGCCAAGAAGGAGAUGUACGUUGGGACUCUCACCAGGACAAGGAGAGCUUCCCUUUUUUGGGGGUGUUUUCUCUACUGCCUCAACUAUAUGCAAUAAACCACAUCAAGCAGAGUCCCUGCAGCCCACAGUGGUAAAAAUAAAAUGGUAACCUCACUCCAUUGGACGAGCCCUCUUUGUAAUGUUUCCUGCAGCCAGGUCUCUGCAAGGGAGGUGGGAGUUUCCACUCACUCUUGGGAGCUGUCUCACACUUACUGGGUUAUAAAUAGCAAGGCGAGGUACCUGACUCGAGGUGUUAAAUUGCACUCUGGCAGCCUGAUACCUAGCAGUCAGAUGUUGUAGCACAUUUAUAAGCUCCCAGUUUUCACUGCAUGGAGUCUAAAAUGCAAACUAGCAAUCAUAAAAUGUGAGGUGUGGUUAAAAACAAGAUCUGGGUAGUUUUUAUCUCUGCAUAUCUUUACAUCCUCUGUUAUUUACAUUGUGUUUACAAUGAACAUUCCCUGCUGUUACAGAUUCCAGGCAAAAGCCCUUCUCACUCAGCACUACAGGUGGAAGCAUCCUGCAGCUGGUCUUAUGCUCCGAGGCCAAAAGCCAUAUUAAAACCAUAUUCUUAA
Molecule: non-coding RNA, 1255 nt
Organism: Meleagris gallopavo (turkey)
Lineage: Eukaryota; Metazoa; Chordata; Aves; Galliformes; Phasianidae
Source: RefSeq, a predicted model, not a curated record